RNAcentral lists this ribosomal RNA (231 nucleotides) under uncultured bacterium. Its description in RNAcentral is "partial 16S ribosomal RNA". It matches the Rfam family "Bacterial small subunit ribosomal RNA", at positions 118 to 347 of the family's 1533-position model. The record is from RNAcentral.
UGGGCAACCUGCCCCUCUCUCUGGGAUAACCCCGGGAAACCGGAGCUAAUACCGGAUACUCCGGCUGGAUCGCAUGGUCCGGCCGGGAAAGGUCCGCCGGAGAGGGAUGGGCCCGCGGCCUAUCAGCUUGUUGGUGGGGUCAUGGUUCACCAAGGCGACGACGGGUAGCUGGUCUGAGAGGACGACCAGCCACACUGGAACUGAGAUACGGUCCAGACUCCUACGGGAGCA